This 254-nucleotide ribosomal RNA is filed under the name uncultured prokaryote. RNAcentral's name for it is "partial 16S ribosomal RNA". It matches the Rfam family "Bacterial small subunit ribosomal RNA", at positions 524 to 777 of the family's 1533-position model. The record is from RNAcentral.
UACGGAGGAUGCGAGCGUUAUCCGGAUUUAUUGGGUUUAAAGGGUGCGCAGGCGGGCUAUUAAGUCAGUGGUGAAAUCCUGCAGCUUAACUGCAGAACUGCCGUUGAUACUGAUAGUCUUGAGUUUGGUUAAGGUAGGCGGAAUGUGUAAUGUAGCGGUGAAAUGCUUAGAUAUUACACAGAACACCAAUUGCGUAGGCAGCUUACUGAGCCGACACUGACGCUGAGGCACGAAAGCGUGGGGAGCGAACAGGA